Molecule: small RNA, 723 nt
Filed under: Pan troglodytes (chimpanzee)
Lineage: Eukaryota; Metazoa; Chordata; Mammalia; Primates; Hominidae
Description: retained intron
Source: RNAcentral
CGUCGGCUCGGGGCUGCUGGUGAGCGCGGCAGGCGACCCGGGCGGGGGCCGGGCUCCCGGAGAGCCCAGCAGGCCAAAGGCUUUGUGUCUUCCACAGAGCGUUUCCGUGGGACUUGUGGCCCUCCUGGCGUCCAGGAACCUUCUUCGCCCUCCACUGCACUGGGUCCUGCUGGCACUAGCUCUGGUGAACCUGCUCUUGUCCGCUGCCUGCUCCCUGGGCCUCCUUCUUGCUGUGUCACUCACUGUGGCCAACGGUGGCCGCCGCCUUAUUGCUGACUGUCACCCAGGACUGCUGGAUCCUCUGGUACCACUGGAUGAGGGGCCGGGACAUACUGACUGCCCCUUUGACCCCACAAAAAUCUAUGAUACAGCCUUGGCUCUCUGGAUCCCUUCUUUGCUCAUGUCUGCAGGGGAGGCUGCUCUAUCUGGUUACUGCUGUGUGGCUGCACUUACUCUACGUGGAGUUGGGCCCUGCAGGAAGGACGGACUUCAGGGGCAGCUAGAGGAAAUGACAGAGCUUGAAUCUCCUAAAUGUAAAAGGCAGGAAAAUGAGCAGCUACUGGAUCAAAAUCAAGAAAUCCGGGCAUCACAGAGAAGUUGGGUUUAGGAAGCAGGUGCUGUUCCGAGACUCAGUCCUAAAGGGGUUUUUUUCCCACUAAGCAAGGGGCCCUGACCUCGGGAUGAGAUAACAAAUUGUAAUAAAGUAACUUCUCUUUUCUUCUA